AUGCGGCUCCUCUCCCUGGCCCUGUGCGUGGGCCUGGCGACAGCGUUGCCGACCUAUCAGGACGCCAUCAGUCAUCCAGCGCCACCGCCGGUCCUCGUCUCUGGCAGUCUGGGCGGCCAGCUCAGCCAGCCAGCCAGCCAAGACCAUGCAGGGCAGGACUCCGACGGCUGCCAGGCGUGUGCCGGCAAUGGCGUGGGCGUUCAGCUGGAUGUCGGUGUGCCGUCCGUCCUUCUCGCCUCCGGCGGAGGUGUUCUCUCAGGAGACGGUGAGGGCGGCCUCGCCUCCAUCGGAGGUGUUCCCUCAGUAGGAAGCGGGAUCGACAUCUCAGCGCAGGUCGGCGACGGCAGGGUCGUGACCCACCAGAGCAGCUCGUCAAGCAGACAGUUCUCGCAGUCGUCACACUCCUCCCAGACGUCCUACUUUGUCAGCUCGGGGGGCGAUGACAUCAUCGAGAUCGUGGUAGCGCAGGCCGCCGACUACGGCCUGGAGGCGUGUGCUGCGGACCUAACCGAGUCGGCCAAAAUCAUUGUCGAGGAGAGCGGUGAAAAGGGUGAAAAGGAGGCCGUUGCUGCAAGAACAUGGAGCCGCUUCAUCUUCGGCUGCUGGUGGUGGAGCUGCCUCGUCUGCCGCUGUGGUGGCUUAGAACUUGGAGCUGCCUCGUCCUCGGCUGCUGGUGGUGGCGCUGCUUCGUCUUCGGCUGCUGGUGGCGGAGCAGCUUCGUCUGCUGCUGCUGGCGGUGCAGGACAGGGAGCCUCUUCUUCUUCAGCUGCCGCUGGUGGAGCUGCCUCAGCCGCUUCCAGCGGUGGGGCAUCGUCAUCCACCUCCGUCAGUGGCGGGGAGAUCUCAGUCAUCGAAGACACUCACGAGGAGAUCAUUCAGGACUGCAUCUGCGUGCCGUACUAUCUUUGCAAGGGAGGUGACAUUAUCACGGACGGCGCUGGUCUGAUUGACAUCCGCUUCGGCCCCGCAGAAGGGGAAGGCCCGAAGUCCAACUCGCAGUGCAAGAGCUUCCUGGAUGUUUGCUGUAAGGUCCCACAGUCCAAACCACUGCCCGAAAUUGUGGAAGAGCUAACGGAGGAGGAGUACGUGCCUUCUUGCGGCCACAGAAAUCCGGAGGGCAUUCAUGUGUCUCUGGAGGGCUUUAAGGAGAGUGAGUCCCAGUUUGGAGAGUUCCCGUGGAUGGCGAUUAUUCUGGAGGAGCAGCGUCAGGGCGGUAAACGUCUGGAGAAAUACCUGUGCGGCGGCUCUCUGAUAGCUGAUGACGUCAUUCUGACUGCUGGCCACUGCGUGAACGAUAAGCGAGCUGGCAGUAUCGUAGUCCGUCUCGGCGACUGGGACACCAAGCGCGAGACGGAGAUCUUCCCGCACGAGCAGUUCCACGUCAAACACAUCGAGGUGCAUGAGGAUCUCAACCCGCGCACGCUCUUCAACGACGUAGCGCUGCUGUUCCUGGACGGCAAGGUGACUCUACAGCCGCACAUCGACACCAUCUGCCUGCCGGAGCCGGACGAGGACUUCGACUACGCGCAUUGCGUGGCGACGGGCUUCGGCCGCGACAAGUUCGAGGGCGGCACCUACCAGAACAUCAUGAAGCAGGUCGACCUGAACAUCGUACCGCACGAUGCGUGCCAGACGAAGCUGCGCACGACGCGGCUCGGCCGCUGGUUCAAGCUGCACGACUCGUUUACGUGCGCCGGCGGCGAGCCGGGCGUCGACACGUGCAAGGGCGACGGCGGCUCGCCGCUGGUCUGUCCCAGCAAAACGGAUCCCAACAAGUAGUCCAGGCGGGCAUCGUGGCCUGGGGCAUCGGCUGCGGCGAGGGUGGCGUGCCGGGCGUGUACGCCAGCGUGCCGAAGCUGCUGACUUGGGUGCAGGAGAAGCUGGCGGCGUUCCCAGCCAGUGGUCUGCCUGACAGGCUGCAGCAGCAGCAUCAGCCAGUGCCCGUGCAGGUAGUCCAGACGCCGGUGCAAGUGUCCCUGCCACCGCCACCGCCACCGCACACGCUGGUGUCCACCGGCUAUUAGAGCGGGAAGAACACCACAGCGGGCGAUACGAUCGGAGAUUGCAAGAGCUGAGACAGCCAUGGCGGUGCUAAAGCGAGCAGGUGGAAAACGGCGACAACGAAGCAGUGGGGCAUGGAAAAUAAUCGACAAACGUCUCACACUAGAUAACUAAAAAUCUUAAGAAAAUGGAAGGCGAAAGGGCGAUCAGACACGGACGAUCUGUUGCAAGCUGCAAUUUCACCGGAGAAACUGAGCCUUAAUUACUCAUUUCGGCUAUCGUGGUAACAGACGACCCAUGUUCAGGGUGGUCUGAAAAGUUUUACCUUGGUCUUCCCCGCUCGUGUUAGGUAACGAGUUGAAUAAAGCGCGUUUUGUCGUA
Molecule: RNA transcript, 2382 nt
Organism: Pollicipes pollicipes
Lineage: Eukaryota; Metazoa; Arthropoda; Thecostraca; Pollicipedomorpha; Pollicipedidae
Exons: 4
Source: RefSeq, a predicted model, not a curated record